This 486-nucleotide ribosomal RNA is filed under the name uncultured bacterium. RNAcentral's name for it is "partial 16S ribosomal RNA". It matches the Rfam family "Bacterial small subunit ribosomal RNA", at positions 30 to 507 of the family's 1533-position model. The record is from RNAcentral.
AUUGAACGCUGGCGGCAUGCCUUACACAUGCAAGUCGAACGGCAGCACGGGUGCUUGCACCUGGUGGCGAGUGGCGAACGGGUGAGUAAUACAUCGGAACAUGUCCUGUAGUGGGGGAUAGCCCGGCGAAAGCCGGAUUAAUACCGCAUACGAUCUACGGAUGAAAGCGGGGGACCUUCGGGCCUCGCGCUAUAGGGUUGGCCGAUGGCUGAUUAGCUAGUUGGUGGGGUAAAGGCCUACCAAGGCGACGAUCAGUAGCUGGUCUGAGAGGACGACCAGCCACACUGGGACUGAGAAACGGCCCAGACUCCUACGGGAGGCAGCAGUGGGGAAUUUUGGACAAUGGGCGAAAGCCUGAUCCAGCAAUGCCGCGUGUGUGAAGAAGGCCUUCGGGUUGUAAAGCACUUUUGUCCGGAAAGAAAUCCUUGGCCCUAAUACGGUCGGGGGAUGACGGUACCGGAAGAAUAAGCACCGGCUAACUACGUG